AACGCUGGCGGCAUGCCUAACACAUGCAAGUCGAACGAGACCUUCGGGUCUAGUGGCGGACGGGUGAGUAACGCGUGGGAACCUGCCCAGAGGUAAGGGAUAACUUCGGGAAACCGGAGCUAAUACCAUAUACGCCCUUCGGGGGAAAGAUUUAUCGCCUUUGGAUGGGCCCGCGUCGGAUUAGCUAGUUGGUGAGGUAAAGGCUCACCAAGGCGACGAUCCGUAGCUGGUCUGAGAGGAUGAUCAGCCACACUGGGACUGAGACACGGCCCAGACUCCUACGGGAGGCAGCAGUGGGGAAUAUUGGACAAUGGGGGAAACCCUGAUCCAGCAAUGCCGCGUGUGUGAAGAAGGCCUUAGGGUUGUAAAGCACUUUCAGCAGGGAAGAUAAUGACGGUACCUGCAGAAGAAGCCCCGGCUAACUCCGUGCCAGCAGCCCGCGGUAAGACGGAG
RNAcentral lists this ribosomal RNA (453 nucleotides) under uncultured Alphaproteobacteria bacterium. RNAcentral describes it as "bacterial SSU rRNA". It matches the Rfam family "Bacterial small subunit ribosomal RNA", at positions 32 to 530 of the family's 1533-position model. Lineage: Bacteria; Pseudomonadati; Pseudomonadota; Alphaproteobacteria. The record is from RNAcentral.